UACGUAAGGACCGAGCGUUGUCCGGAAUCAUUGGGCGUAAAGGGUACGUAGGCGGUUAGAAAAGUUAGAAGUGAAAGGCUAUAGCUCAACUAUUGUGAGCUUUUAAAACUGUUAAACUUGAGAGAUGGAAGGGAAAGUGGAAUUCCUAGUGUAGCGGUGAAAUGCGCAGAUAUUAGGAGGAAUACCGGUGGCGAAGGCGACUUUCUGGACACAAACUGACACUGAGGUACGAAAGCGUGGGGAGCAAACAGG
Molecule: ribosomal RNA, 252 nt
Filed under: uncultured bacterium
Lineage: Bacteria
Description: partial 16S ribosomal RNA
Rfam family: Bacterial small subunit ribosomal RNA
Source: RNAcentral